UGAUUUGGAAUACGUUGAUUU
Non-coding RNA from Caenorhabditis elegans, 21 nucleotides. NCBI's taxonomy places the organism in Eukaryota, Metazoa, Nematoda, Chromadorea, Rhabditida, Rhabditidae. The record is from Ensembl.